UACGGGGGGGGCAAGCGUUGUUCGGAAUUACUGGGCGUAAAGGGUUUGUAGGUGGCCAACUAAGUCAGACGUGAAAUCCCUCAGCUUAACUGGGGAACUGCGUCUGAUACUGGUUGGCUUGAGUGCAGGAGAGGAACGCGGAAUUCCAGGUGUAGCGGUGAAAUGCGUAGAUAUCUGGAGGAACACCGGUGGCGAAGGCGGCAUCCUGGACCAAUAUUGACGCUGAGGAGCGAAAGCCAGGGGAGCAAACGGG
This 253-nucleotide ribosomal RNA is filed under the name uncultured bacterium. RNAcentral describes it as "partial 16S ribosomal RNA". It matches the Rfam family "Bacterial small subunit ribosomal RNA", at positions 524 to 776 of the family's 1533-position model. The record is from RNAcentral.